This 433-nucleotide ribosomal RNA is filed under the name uncultured bacterium. RNAcentral describes it as "partial 16S ribosomal RNA". It matches the Rfam family "Bacterial small subunit ribosomal RNA", at positions 29 to 507 of the family's 1533-position model. The record is from RNAcentral.
AACGAACGCUGGCGGCAUGCCUAACACAUGCAAGUCGAACGAGACCUUCGGGUCUAGUGGCGCACGGGUGCGUAACGCGUGGGAACCUGCCCUUAGGUUCGGAAUAACUCCCCGAAAGGGGUGCUAAUACCGGAUAAUGUCUUCGGACCAAAGAUUUAUCGCCUUUGGAUGGGCCCGCGUUGGAUUAGCUAGUUGGUAGGGUAAAAGCCUACCAAGGCGACGAUCCAUAGCUGGUCUGAGAGGAUGAUCAGCCACACUGGGACUGAGACACGGCCCAGACUACUACGGGAGGCAGCAGUGGGGAAUAUAGGAAAAUGGGCGAAAGCCUGAUCCAGCAAUGCCGCGUGAGUGAUGAAGGCCUUAGGGUUGUAAAGCUCUUUUACCCGGGAUGAUAAUGACAGUACCGGGAGAAUAAGCUCCGGCUAACUCCGUG